CAGACCUGUCCACAGGUCUGGUCUGGUCAAGCAGACCUGUCCACAGGUCUGGUCUGGUCAAGCAGACCUGUCCGCAGGUCUGGUCUGGUCUAGCUGACCUGUCCUGUGAACAAGUCUGCUUUAUCUAACUUGUCCUCAGGUCUGGUCUGCAGCAGUCCUAAAAAAGUAGACAUGAGGUCUGGUCUGCUAGGGAUUAAGUUAAAUUACAGGUCUGCUUAAUUGUUCCCAAGUUAA
This 234-nucleotide long non-coding RNA is filed under the name Mytilus galloprovincialis (Mediterranean mussel). The record is from RNAcentral. Lineage: Eukaryota; Metazoa; Mollusca; Bivalvia; Mytilida; Mytilidae.